GGGGGAUAUUGCGCAAUGGGGGCAACCCUGACGCAGCAACGCCGCGUGAAGGAUGAAGGUUUUCGGAUUGUAAACUUCUUUUAUUAAGGACGAAACUUGACGGUACUUAAUGAAUAAGCUCCGGCUAACUACGUGCCAGCAGCCGCGGUAAUACGUAGGGAGCAAGCGUUGUCCGGAUUUACUGGGUGUAAAGGGUGCGUAGGCGGCUUUGCAAGUCAGAUGUGAAAUCUAUGGGCUCAACCCAUAAACUGCAUUUGAAACUGUAGAGCUUGAGUGAAGUAGAGGCAGGCGGAAUUCCCCGUGUAGCGGUGAAAUGCGUAGAGAUGGGGAGGAACACCAGUGGCGAAGGCGGCCUGCUGGGCUUUAACUGACGCUGAGGCACGAAAGCGUGGGUAGCAAACAGGAUUAGAUACCCUGGUAGUCCACGCUGUAAACGAUGAUUACUAGGUGUGGGGGGUCUGACCCCUUCCGUGCCGGAGUUAACACAAUAAGUAAUCCACCUGGGGAGUACGGCCGCAAGGUUGAAACUCAAAGGAAUUGACGGGGGCCCGCACAAGCAGUGGAGUAUGUGGUUUAAUUCGAAGCAACGCGAAGAACCUUACCAGGUCUUGACAUCCAACUAACGAAGUAGAGAUACAUUAGGUGCCCUUCGGGGAAAGUUGAGACAGGUGGUGCAUGGUUGUCGUCAGCUCGUGUCGUGAGAUGUUGGGUUAAGUCCCGCAACGAGCGCAACCCUUGCUAUUAGUUGCUACGCAAGAGCACUCCAAUAGGACUGCCGUUGACAAAACGGAGGAAGGUGGGGACGACGUCAAAUCAUCAUGCCCCUUAUGACCUGGGCUACACACGUACUACAAUGGAUGUUAACAGAGGGAAGCAAGACAGCGAUGUGGAGCAAACCCCUAAAAACAUUCUCAGUUCAGAUUGCAGGCUGCAACCCGCCUGCAUGAAGAUGGAAUUGCUAGUAAUCGCGGAUCAGCAUGCCGCGGUGAAUACGUUCCCG
This 1000-nucleotide ribosomal RNA is filed under the name uncultured bacterium. RNAcentral describes it as "bacterial SSU rRNA". It matches the Rfam family "Bacterial small subunit ribosomal RNA", at positions 356 to 1376 of the family's 1533-position model. RNAcentral also lists the same sequence under 1 other name. The record is from RNAcentral.